GACGAACGCUGGCGGCGUGCUUAACACAUGCAAGUCGAACGGAAAGGCGCUGCUUGCAGGGUACUCGAGUGGCGAACGGGUGAGUAAGACGUGGGUGAUCUACCCUGCAAUUCGGGAUAAGCUUGUGAAACUGAGUGUAAUAACGGAUAGGAGACAUCUUUAGUGGGGUGGUUGGAAAGUUUUUUCGGCGUAGGAUGUGAUUGCGGCGUUUCAGCUUGCUGGUGGGGUAAUGGCCUACCAAGGCGGCGAAGGAUAGCAGGCCUGCGAGGGUGAACGGCCACUCUGGGACUGUACGACGGGCCACACUACUAAGGCUGGCAGCAGUGGGGAAUAUUGGACAAUGCACCCAAGCCUGAUGCAGCGAGGCCGCGUGGGGGAUGAAGGCCUUCGGGUUGUAAACUCCUUUCGGUAGGGAAGAAGCUUCGUUGUGACGGUACCUAGAUAAGAAGCACCGGCUAACUACGUG
Molecule: ribosomal RNA, 466 nt
Filed under: uncultured bacterium
Lineage: Bacteria
Description: partial 16S ribosomal RNA
Rfam family: Bacterial small subunit ribosomal RNA
Source: RNAcentral